Molecule: ribosomal RNA, 514 nt
Filed under: Hynesionella capensis
Lineage: Eukaryota; Metazoa; Arthropoda; Insecta; Hemiptera; Gerridae
Description: eukaryotic LSU rRNA
Rfam family: Eukaryotic large subunit ribosomal RNA
Source: RNAcentral
GGAGUCCAACGUGUGCGCGAGUCGUUGGGUGUCAAAACCCAAAGGCGUAAUCAAGGUGAAGGGAAGCUUGUCUUUCCUAGGGAGGAGGGGAACUCCGUGCCUAACGGGCGGACUCCCCGCACUCCCGCGGCGUCUCAGGCUCAUCGCGAGCCGAGGCGGACCUAGAGCGUUCACGUUGGGACCCGAAAGAUGGUGAACUAUGCCUGGCCAGGACGAAGCCAGGGGAAACCCUGGUGGAGGUCCGUAGCGGUUCUGACGUGCAAAUCGAUCGUCAGAGCUGGGUAUAGGGGCGAAAGACUAAUCGAACCAUCUAGUAGCUGGUUCCCUCCGAAGUUUCCCUCAGGAUAGCUGGCGCCCAGGUCGAGACGAGUCUCAUCUGGUAAAGCGAAUGAUUAGAGGCAUUGGGGUCGAAACGACCUCAACCUAUUCUCAAACUUUAAAUGGGUGAGAUCCCCGGCUUGCUUGAUCGAGUGAAGCCGGGGCUCGGAUCCGGGUGCCAAGUGGGCCAAUUUUG